GCGCGCCGGCGCUCGGGUCUCGUCCGUGCGUCUGGGCGGCCCCAGGUCCAGCUGAUCCCCCGAACGGCCGCUGCCCGCGCCCGCCGCUGGCCGGUGCUGCCGGCAGGGAAGCGGGGACCACGGCGACAUGGCGCGUCGUGCCCCGCCGGGCACCCGUGCUGCCUCGUCGGGCGGGACAGCAAGGAUGAGCCUGUUCGGAUCAACGUCAGGGUUUGGUACCGGAGGCACCGGCAUGUUUGGCAGUACAGCUGCAGAUAACCAUAAUCCAAUGAAGGAUAUUGAAGUAACAUCUCCACCUGAUGACAGCAUAUCUUGUCUAGCGUUUAGUCCACCAACAUUGCCGGGUAAUUUCCUCAUUGCAGGAUCAUGGGCAAAUGAUGUUCGCUGCUGGGAAGUUCAAGAUAAUGGACAGACAAUUCCAAAGGCUCAGCAGAUGCACACAGGGCCUGUAUUGGAUGGCUGCUGGAGUGAUGAUGGGAGUAAAGUAUUUACUGCUUCCUGUGAUAAAACUGCCAAAAUGUGGGAUCUCAACAGUAAUCAAGCUAUCCAGAUUGCACAACAUGAUGCACCUGUGAAGACUAUCCAUUGGAUUAAAGCACCAAAUUAUAGCUGUGUGAUGACCGGAAGCUGGGAUAAAACUUUAAAGUUCUGGGAUACCCGUUCACCAACGCCCAUGAUGACACUGCAGCUCCCUGAAAGAUGUUAUUGUGCAGAUGUGGUUCAUCCUAUGGCUGCUGUGGCCACUGCAGAAAGGGGUUUGAUAGUUUAUCAGUUAGAGAACCAACCUUCUGAAUUUAGAAGAAUAGAAUCUCCUCUUAAACACCAGCAUCGCUGUGUUGCUAUUUUUAAAGACAAAGUGAACAAACCUACUGGAUUUGCCCUUGGAAGUAUUGAAGGAAGAGUAGCUAUUCAUUAUAUCAAUCCCCCAAAUCCUGCAAAAGACAACUUCACUUUUAAAUGCCAUCGCUCCAAUGGAACAAACACAUCAGCACCUCAGGAUAUUUAUGCUGUAAAUGGGAUAGCAUUUCACCCUGUCCAUGGCACUCUUGCAACAGUGGGAUCCGAUGGUAGAUUCAGCUUUUGGGAUAAAGAUGCACGAACAAAGCUAAAAACAUCAGAACAACUUGACCAGCCAAUAUCUGCUUGUUGUUUCAACCAUAAUGGCAAUAUAUUUGCAUAUGCUUCCAGUUAUGAUUGGUCAAAGGGUCAUGAAUUUUAUAAUCCACAAAAGAAAAACUACAUUUUUCUGCGAAAUGCAGCAGAAGAGUUAAAGCCAAGGAAUAAGAAGUAGUUGUGAUUGUUACACACCAACCUUUGCUUGUUAGGGCAUUCUUCCAGACUUCCCAGUCAAAUGGCACCAAGCACUUGCAGGCUGUAGAUGAAGAUCACUGAUGGCAAAAAUUAAAAUCAUAGUCAUCUCCUGCAUGCAGAACUCCCACUGGUGUAAACAGGGAAGGAUGGGAUGUAGCAUCUGCUUCUUGUUUAAAAAAAAUCCUGGUGUCUCUUUUGUUUACAUACUGAACAGUGUGAAUGAGUGAUUAGAAAAUAGAUUCACUCUAGUUCACCAAGUACAUGUCUGCUGGAUCCAAUGGAGUUGCUCCUGCUGAAGUGGAUAUUAAGUUUGGCCAAGAUUUAUGUUCAUGAUGAAGCCAGCACUGGUAAGUCUCUUGUUUGGCAAUACACUUAUGUAGGAAUGAGCUGAGUACUUACUCUGCUGUUGGAAUCAAUUUUUCUAUCAGUCACGUUUUAGAGUUAUUCAGACUAAUUUCAGAAGGAGUGUAUUUUCCAUUACAUUGCUGUGCACAUAUAUUGGGUCUGGCUGAGGUGGAGUUGAUGUUUGCCAUUGCAGCCCUCAGUGCUAUGCUGUGUAUUGCUAGGAGGCAGGGUGUUGCUAAUACAGCAGUGGUUUGGCCAUCGCUGAGCACUGCUCCAAUAUAUUCCCCCUCAUGAGCAAGCUGAGGAUGGACAGAGCCAGGACAGCUGACCCCAACCAACCAAAGGGAUAUUCUAUACCAUAGGACAUCUGCUCAGCAAUAAAAGCUGAGAGGAAGGAGGAGGAAGGGGGAGCAUUCAUUAUUUACGAUGUUUGUCUUCCAGAGCAACUGCUAUGUGUGCUGCAGCCCUGCUUCCUAGGAAGUGGCCACAAAUCGCCUGCUGAUGGGAAGUAAAGAAUAAAACCUUUUGUUUUCUUUUGCUUCCACAUGUGACCUUUGCUUUUGCUUUACUAAACUGCCUUUGUCUUUAGCCACAUUUCUGUUUCCAUCUUACUUUCUCCCCUCCUUGUCCUGCUGAGGAGGGGGGUGGUAGAGUGGCUUGGUGAGCACCUGGCAUCCAACCACAAGCAGCACAUUAGAUCAAUUGGGAGGACAGAGUCAAACUUUGCUUUGUUUUCUUACCCAAGUUAAGAGAAUGCAUUGGUAACUUUUCUUCCCUGGGCUUACUGCAAGAUUCAUGUGUAAAAGUACACACAGCUGUAUCCCCUUAAACACAGUGACAGCUUACACAUGGGUAAGUGUUAGUGCAUGAUCUGGAAACGUAUUAACUUGCUAUUCUAUGGCACUUACCUGUCCAAAAAAUGAAAAGAAUGAAGAAUGUAAGAUGCUAAUGUGUAUCCAGAGCUAACCAUAGGAAUGCUAGAGUUACAGAACAACUUUGUUAGUUUUUGGAAAGUGCUGUCGAUGUUUGUGGUUUUAUUGCAGAAAAAUAAUCUUUGGCACAAAGAACUCAGCUAAGCCCCCAUAUGGGGACAUUUCAUAAAGAUUUUCAGCUCUCUUGACCUUUCUCCUGCUGGUCUCACCUGUCAGUAGUCUUGCAUAGUGGUUUAAUGAAGCAUAUUUUGUAAAACAAAGCAAUUGACAAAAAGUUUGUCUGCUAAAGCCCUCCACAAAUGAAAGCCAGACAUGUCUGCACAAUGGCAUUCAGUCAAGCAGAGUAUCUUAAUUUACCAUCUGUCAGAUGAAACGCAAUAGCUGGCUUGGUGAGUACUCCAGCCUAGCUCCACGGCUGGGAAAACAGGUUAGAGUCAUUCUCCAGAGGAGAAUGGAUUUGAGAUAGAGCUGGGGUUAAGGGUAUGUGGGAAGCUCCAAUCAAACUAUUGUCCAGCCUGGCCUUAAACACUUCCAGGGAUGGAACAUUAUCAUCUAUUGCUGCAACAGAAACCAGUGAAUGGAACAAAUUGAGAAUAACAUUAAUUCCCUAGUGAAAUGUUCUACCCCAGCAGUUGCAGUAUGCAUCAUGUGCAAUUUAAAGCUGUUGCUGUAAAUCUCCUGUUGUGCCGGGGGAUGGCAGUGUUGAUGGCUUCUUAACCAAAGCUUUCCCGGCAGACAUCUGUGCGGUUGCCCGAGUUUUGGGGCCCUCAGUAGCAGUAAACGUGUUGGUAGCAUGUUUGGAGAACAGACAUUUAAGGAAUUUAAGAUUAGUGGAGGUGAGUCAGUUCUGUAUGAACUGGACUAUGGGCUAUUAGAGUUCUAAUAACUUUCCCCUCUAAGACAAGUCUUGGUAACUUUGACUAGUUUUCAUACUGCUGUCAUAGAAGACUGUAGGUUUAAAGCUGGUAAGCAGCACUAUGUUUUUGUCUAAGUUGGCUUUCUUGCAGAAAGAACGAAAAAAAGCCAAUAAAAAUACUUCACUAAAAUAACCCCAAACCAGGUAGGCUCAGUGAUAAGCUAUGUAAAAGACAAGUGUAUUUUUUUUCCUAGUGUUUGAAGUGCAGUUUUCAUUUUCAAGGCUUUGAAAUGCACAAGAUAAUGAAAGGGAGAAAUAGUCUUGGAUUACAAGAUUUGAGUGGGGUUUUAAAUCGCUUAUUUACCCCAGUUAGCAAGUUGUUUUGUCCUUGGGCAUGUGUGACCAGUCCCCCCUCCUCUUGACCCCAGGGAUGUGGUUGGUGUGCCUAACACCACUUUGUAAGGCAACCUGCCAUCCUCUGCGGCCGAGUGGGUCAUGUAUUCACUCCCUUUCCCUCACUAUCAGGCCCUGAAGGUCCUGUGAACCCCGCAGACAAACCAAACGGAUUCCUUCUUCCCUUCCCUGCCCGCCUCAAGACUCCCGGGCACCAGGACGAUUCCUCCCUUCUUCACUGGCCUUGAAGGUCCCAGGCACCCAGCCAGCCCCGUGGUGGGGACACAACAGGGAAGCAUAACAGCACACACUGCACUGUCUAUGCAAUCAAGCACUUACAGGUCCUAAGUGGCAUCUUGGACCCAAACUGCUGCUGGACAGUGAGACCAUGAUGCCCUGUGGCCAGGAGCGCUUCCAUUGCACCAACUUCUGCUUCCUCUGAGGAUCACGUGACUUAGGGUUUUGUACUGGCAGUACAGAGACCACUCUACUGUUCUCACCAACAGAACAGCCAUUUGAAGCAUGGAAACUGCUACUCUUCUCCCCUUGCCAGGUCAGAAUAAACCAAGCGAGAUCACCUGGUUGGCUGCGAUGCUUUCAGCAGGCAGACGCUAACGGGUAUUUCCAUGGUGAGACAUGUUCUGUGUACACGUGGAUUCCUGUGUUCCCAGGAAUCCACAGCGGGAAACCAGCUCAUGAGAAUGCAGCCACUGGAGUGGGGAUAUCACAGCUACAGGGUUUAGGAAUGACAAGAGGCAGUGAUGCGGGGAGGUCUCUCCUGACACCUCAGUGCAGGCUGGCAUAGCGCAGGGCUGGAGACUGGCUUGCAGACACCUCCUUCAUCCCCCCAGUGCAAACCAAGCCUCUGUUUAUUUGUACCAUUUAUCUGCUUCUGAAACAGGGAUAGUGCUACAUGAGGAAAAGGGAAUUCAGGCUGUUCGGGACUUGCUUGUAAGGUAACACAAGGCUGAGGCAGUAUCAUAAAGAGGGCCAUGUGCCGCAGGACCACUUGCGUGCUGACGCAGCCAUUCCAAAUGUUUGUGUUGCAUCAGUUCUGCAAAUACUUUUUGUUACAGUGCAUAAAAGGUACAAUGCCUGUCAACAUUAGCUUUGUAAAGAGAGACCGUUUUCUUCUGUUGACUAAUUAUCCAGUGAAUAUAUUCAGUUUGAAGAGACGCUUCAAUAAUUUAGCAGGCAUGUGCCAGGUAAUACAGGAGCUUUUGUUUUACUAGCAGGCAUAGAUCUUCAAUCAUGUGUAACUCAAUCUCUGGCUUUAUGUAUUCAAGGAAGUGUUUCGUAUAGCUCCUGUAUCAAGUGCCACUGAAAAGCAGGCCUAGAUAAAAGAUUAAGGCAAUGCUCUUAACUGUGAAUAGGGAAAGUUUACCCUUUACUGUCCGGUAUAUCUGCUUUAUACAAGUGAAGUGUGUAUAUGCUGAGAUCCAAUAAUGAGUAUGUUGUGACAACAGGAAAAUGAUGUAAACUGCAUGUUAAAUAGCUGGGUCAGUUAAGUCUCCCUUCCUUACUUUAUGGGCUGUUAACAAUCAAACUUUGUAGUUUGAUAUUGAAUGCUUUCUGUCAUUAAAGUUUCUUAAAUGCA
Molecule: RNA transcript, 5434 nt
Organism: Neopsephotus bourkii (Bourke's parrot)
Lineage: Eukaryota; Metazoa; Chordata; Aves; Psittaciformes; Psittacidae
Gene: RAE1
Gene name: ribonucleic acid export 1
Exons: 14
Source: RefSeq, a predicted model, not a curated record